GACCGCGUGGCCUAAUGGAUCAGGCGUCUGACUUCGGAUCAGGCAAUUGAGGGUUCAAGUCCCUUUGAGGUUG
Chelonia mydas (Green sea turtle) is the source of this 73-nucleotide non-coding RNA. The record is from Rfam. Lineage: Eukaryota; Metazoa; Chordata; Testudines; Cheloniidae.